ACAGGGAGGACGGCAAGUGCGUGCCAUUCGUGGACGGUUCGGUUUAGUUGAGCCAAAGGCUUUCACCAGUUAAUAGCACGAAAUUGUGUCUCCCCCAAAAAAGAAAUCAAAGCAAAACCAAUCAAUAUGAGCGAAGCAAAGAACCUCAUGACCACCUUCGGCAUCCUGGCCUUCCUGCUCUUCUGCCUGUACCUUAUCUAUGCAGUAUUGUAGACUCACAGGGCCCACUAGAAGGUCCUUAGAGCAGGAAUAUGGGCAACCAACAACAACAACAACCCAAUCAAAAUGAAUGAGGCCAGAAGUUUGUUCACCACCUUCCUGAUCCUGGCCUUUCUGCUGUUCCUGCUCUAUGCCUUCUACGAAGCGGCAUUCUAAACAACCCACCUCACCCAUCAACCCAAUCAAUCAUCAGUAAAUCAAGGAUAGCUUACAUGUUGAAUUUCAAUUCCAAGCCUAAACAAUGAACAACUUGUGGCCUAGGAGGAGCUUUAGGACCUUACGCGUUUAAGAUGUUAGCAUUUAAUGGAUUUCUACUAGUAACCUAAGCCAGAUGACGUCAAAGCCACCAGCUGCCCCAUGUCAGGCCCCUCGAUUAGUUUAGCACAGUUCUCAGGGGGCUCGCCAGCAUCAGCAUUAUCAUUAUGAUGAUGUAUGGUCCACCCAUGCUGAGAGAGCUGCUCUAGAUUUGUUCCAACUCCGAGGUGGUGCAAGAUCGUUCCAUCCUCAAGGCUCUGGCGGCCACGGCGUCAUUUGUUCUAAUCAUAAAUUUUCUUUUAUGAUUUCUUUUUCGUUUACGUUUUGCAAUGAAAUUGACUUAAUUUACAAUUUAUAGACCAUGAUGUACAGUAAAUGCCAACGACAACAGCAACAGCAGCAAGAACAACAGCAACAGCCAUCAAUAAGAACAUUCAAGAAUUUUGUUAUAAUUUCAUUGCUAAGCCACAAAUUUAUUUUGCAUUCGUAUUUAGUAAGACUUACAUAAUUGUAUAACUGCAUUUUACUGGACUUUGAUUUAAUUUAUUGUCAAUAACAAACACAUGCAACAAAACAACAACAGCAAC
Drosophila subobscura is the source of this 1061-nucleotide long non-coding RNA. RefSeq lists it as uncharacterized. NCBI's taxonomy places the organism in Eukaryota, Metazoa, Arthropoda, Insecta, Diptera, Drosophilidae. The record is from RefSeq and is a predicted model, not a curated record. The transcript is spliced from 5 exons.